AGCUCCAAUAGCGUAUAUUAAAGUUGUUGCAGUUAAAAAGCUCGUAGUUGAACCUUGGGUCUGGUUAGCCGGUCUGCCUUUUUGGCACGUACUGGAUUUAACCGGGCCUUUCCUUCUGGCUAACCAACACUCUGUGUUGGCAAACCAGGACUUUUACUUUGAAAAAAUUAGAGUGUUCAAAGCAGGCCUUUGCUCGAAUAUAUUAGCAUGGAAUAAUAGAAUAGGACGUUAUGGUUCUAUUUUGUUGGUUUCUAGGACCAUCGUAAUGAUUAAUAGGGACGGUCGGGGGCAUCAGUAUUCAGUUGUCAGAGGUGAAAUUCUUGGAUUUACUGAAGACUAACUACUGCGAAAGCAUUUGCCAAGGACGUUUUCA
RNAcentral lists this ribosomal RNA (373 nucleotides) under uncultured eukaryote. Its description in RNAcentral is "SSU rRNA". It matches the Rfam family "Eukaryotic small subunit ribosomal RNA", at positions 587 to 972 of the family's 1831-position model. The record is from RNAcentral.